This is a long non-coding RNA of Tympanuchus pallidicinctus (lesser prairie-chicken), 2598 nucleotides long. RefSeq lists it as uncharacterized. The record is from RefSeq and is a predicted model, not a curated record. NCBI's taxonomy places the organism in Eukaryota, Metazoa, Chordata, Aves, Galliformes, Phasianidae. The transcript has 3 exons.
GCCACCUGCACGUGGAGAACACACAACAAAGGUCAUGCUCAUAGCCACCCCUUUCCCUGCAGGGAGAAGGUCUAUUGGACAGAGCCCAGAACUGCACUCAAGGGUGAUGUACCCUGAAUUUGGGUUCUCCCAAAAAGGGGGUGGCUUAAAAACAGAAGCUUGCCAGUUUCUAGGAAGCAUUGAUAUAUAGGUAAUGCAGUCCACUGCCUCUCUUUUCCCCCAAACUUAGGAAAGGUGAAGCUGAUUGUCAAGUGAGAUGCAGAGAACCUGAGAGUGUUAGCAUUGUCCUUAGCUCCCGUUGGCUCUCCAUUUGUCUCCCAGCAGCUGACACGUUGCCCAUAGGCCACAGUGCACAGCUGGGUUCUUUGUGAGCACCAACUGGGAAAAACCCAAUGGGUCGGAUUCCAGCUCCAGGCAUAAUUUCUUGGACGUACCUUUAACCAGCCAGCGUAGAAGAAGAACUGCAAAAACGUAAAGACAGGCACAAAGAGAUCUAGUUCAUGGCCAGGGUAUGCUUUUUCAGGAUCCAGGAACUGCCGCCCGAUCAGACAGGCCAGGAAGAAGCUGUAAACAGCCACGGUCACCACCUGGGAAAGAUGCCAGGGGACACACCAGAGAAACUUAAGUUCCCUACUUGCUUUCUCAGCGUUUUUCUUUUUUGUUCCCACCCCACUUAUAUCAAAACUGCAGUGAGCUGCUGGCUCAGGAGCUCUUGAAAGCCUUGUAUUCGGUUACAACAAGCUUCCCCUCUGCUUUUUGCAGGAAGAUUAAUUUUCACUGCAGAAAACUUUGUGUACCCUCUGCCCUUCGUCGUUAUGUACGCUGCAUUUCACUCCACGCUGUCCCUGGAAUGACAUCUCUGUCCUAGUAGUUCUCUGUAGCCCCUCACAGUUUGGUAAGCAUUUUCCAUAUCUGGGAGGGGAACCCUGAGCAUUAGUGCCAGCUCUGGUUUGGUCCUAAUGAAGGAUAUUUUUAUAUUUGCCUGCUUGCUUGCCCAAAUUUCAAGCUACAAUGAACUCUGUACUUUUCUGUGCAAUCACGAGACUGGAAACUUCCACUUUUCAAAUUAAUAACAGCCGAGACUCGUGUCAAGCAGGAAGGUUCAAAUCAAACACCCGGCAUCAUGAGACUCUUGAGUUAGCCAGGCACUUCCCAGAAGGGAACAGCACAGGGCUGCUUCAAGAUGCAAACGUUACAGCGUGCCUGCAAAGACAAACUUUGCAGUGUGGAUGGGCAACCAUAGAAAAAUGGGUCAUGCUCUGCAGAGAGGAGACUGUUCCAGUCCAUCUGGUAAAUCCUGCUCACAACUCCAAGACCCAACUGAGGCUGCCAGAGGAGCUGUCAAUUUGGGCCCAGUCUUUUCUACAGCCUGACAUAGCUCUGUGGACCUAAACUACAGUGAUAUCUCUUCUCUGCAGGGCAUGGAUCUGCAUGUAUCUGUGUUUUCUGUGCACUCAUAUGGAGCACCUUACAGACACAUGCUUUGCUUCCUUGUGGCUUUACAGUUGUAUCCUAGAGACCUUCAUUGGACGCUGGAAUGUGUGAAUGGUGGAGGAAGUUUGAUCCAGUACACACUACAUGGGUGUCUCCUAUGACUACACCUAGAUGUGAGUCAGAUGGUUUCUCCCAGUCCCAAUUUUGUGAAAGACAUUACAUUCUUUAGCCUCUGCUGCAUGUGGCAUCACCGAUGUGUCAACAGGCCAUGAAAAAUUCUACUCUGUCACCAGUUGGAAAGUGGCAGUGGGGGUAUUUCUCAUCAAAAUGAAUGUAAUAUCCCCAGGGACAGGCAUGGCUCACUGUCUGGACAUCCCACCUCAACAUUUCGGUUCCUUGCCUGACCUCUUAAAUCCCUGCAGUUCCACCUGGAGGACUGCAUGAGGAUCUCAGUUGCCUACUGUCACUCACAUUCAGGAUGCCUUGGAGCAGCACGCUGUCCCGGAUCCUCCCCUCAUUCCUUGCUUUCACAGCCAGAUUGGAGAACCACACGCAUGGGAUCCAAAACUUAUUGUGGGGAGAAUUCAAGCUCUCAAACUUCUUGUGCUCUUCAGGUGUCAUGAGGCCUAAGUGGAAAAGAACAGAUGAGAAAGGAAUCAUAGAGAGCAGAAGGCCAUAGAGAGCAGAAGGAGACCAAGUUCAUGAUGCGGUCAGGCCACGGGAUGCUCUCGUACUGCGCCCACCAGCGGGACACCACCAGGGCCACGUAGAAACCUAGAGGUGAGCCGAGCAAGUUAGCCAUCCUGAAGGAGGGGAGAUGUGUGCUCUUGUAUGGGAAGGCUGGCACUGCUCUUAUAGGGAUGAGUGAAGGCAGACCUAAUUUGUAUCAUGCUAAAGCUGGAGUCUGGCUUUCACCGCUUGUUUAGAGAUAUUUGGUCCUUGCCCUCCUGGUAGAACCAAGAUCACACCAGUGCAUCUGGGCAGUGAAAGCUGUGUGCAUACCUCACAGCUGCAGCAUUAACUGAUGUAUUUAUCACAAAGGCAGAAUGAGGGAACUGCCUGCUUGAAGAGCUGUGUUGACCCAGGGUGAGAGAAGAAAUGCUGCCCGCUUCCCCUCCCUGUGCAUUCACAGUCCUUACCCAGCACAAAGGACACAGGGAUUAG